Molecule: ribosomal RNA, 500 nt
Filed under: uncultured Glomeromycotina
Lineage: Eukaryota; Fungi; Glomeromycota
Description: partial small subunit ribosomal RNA
Rfam family: Eukaryotic small subunit ribosomal RNA
Source: RNAcentral
CCAAUAGCGUAUAUUAAAGUUGUUGCAGUUAAAAAGCUCGUAGUUGAAUUUCGGGAUCAGUUCGUCGGUCGUGCCUUUGGUAUGUACUGGUGUUACUGGUUCCUCCCUUCUGACGAACCGUCAUGUCAUUAAUUUGGUGUGGCGGGAAAUCAGGACUGUUACUUUGAAAAAAUUAGAGUGUUUAAAGCAGGCUCGCGCUUGAAUACAUUAGCAUGGAAUAAUGAAAUAGGACGUUCGAUCCUAUUUUGUUGGUUUCUAGGAUUGACGUAAUGAUUAAUAGGGAUAUGUGGGGGCAUUAGUAUUCAAUUGUCAGAGGUGAAAUUCUUGGAUUUAUUGAAGACUAACUACUGCGAAAGCAUUUGCCAAGGAUGUUUUCAUUAAUCAAGAACGAAAGUUAGGGGAUCGAAGACGAUCAGAUACCGUCGUAGUCUUAACCAUAAACUAUGCCGACUAGGGAUCGGAUGAUGUUAAUUUUUUAAUGACUCAUUCGGCGCCUUACG